Molecule: long non-coding RNA, 2206 nt
Filed under: Pelobates cultripes (western spadefoot toad)
Lineage: Eukaryota; Metazoa; Chordata; Amphibia; Anura; Pelobatidae
Source: RNAcentral
ACACAUAUUGAUUUCAAUGUUUUUGAGCUUAUCAAACCCCACUUUCCAUACCCAUCUGGCCUUCAAAGCAAUAUAUUUAGAAAUGGGACCCUACAAAGUGAAAAUGUUUAACUUUUUUACCAGUUGGUGGCUUGUUUAUGAAUCAAAUGUUUUCUCCAGCAUGUCUCAAGGAGUAAUUAGGGAGAGGAAAACGAUCUAUCUUUAAAGCACCUUGCCCAAUAUAGCAAUUUGAAGUGGUUGUGGUGCUUGUAGUCUUUAUGCAUAGGGUUGACCUUGGUUCAAGCAAAAAUUUAUUUUUAACCAAUAAUAACCCCUUACUACUCUGUUCAACGUGAGUUCAAUUAUUAAUUUACUUCUGCUGAGCCCUAUUUGUCAAAUCGGAGUGCGGACUUUUCUACAGGUAGCCUCAAUGGUACCCUAAUUAUUUUUGCUGUUAGCUGAAAUGAUGCACAUUAUCAAGUGUGAUGUCAAAUUCGUUCAGACAAGGUGCAGGAGAGUACUGUUAAAGCACGCGGUCACUGCAAACUGUGUAAUGGUGUUUUUACCUGAAGGUAAUCUAAAGGCCCUGUAAAACUGCACAGCAGUUACUUUCUCAUGCAAACUGUCCUCUUUGCACCAUAGCUACAGCAGGUAAUUGAAGCGGUUAUAAAUAUAUGGUCACACCCCUUGUUUCCUGUCAAACUGUUUUAAAACAGCCAGAGCCUUCACUCUGCAGCUUCACUGCUAACGGGGAACUUACAUGUGCACGUCACAAAGUGUGUAAUCUGCCCAACGUUUGAUGGCAAUAAUAAGCUGAGAGCUCUGUACUAACCUACCUGAGUCUUAUUACAAUCUUAAGGUUGGUUGGAUUUGAAUUUGACAAUGUUGAAACAAAACUUUGGUAUUAUGAGUGUGGCUGUUGAGGGGGCUGCAUUAUGGGUGCUUUUAUCUCAUAGCACCCAGAGUUGAAACACCUUGGGAAAAAUAAAUGCAUCUUUAUCAGGUUGGGGAAGGAUAUUUUACAUUCCUUCUAACUUGUCAAACUCUUUCUUAGCAGGAAUUAAGAAAGCAAAGUGUGCUGUAGUAGGCCAUUUCCCCAUAAUGGGGAAGCAACUGAAAACAUUCAGCAACUUAAUUUCAGUUGGUUGUAAAUAUGAGAGUUUAUAUGAUCUUGUAUAACAGCAGCAUCUUAUAAUUCUAUGUUCAUUUUAUAAGUAAAACCUUUCAUUUAACUAACACUGGACUCUGUUCUGUGAUAUCUGUAAACUCAUUUGCCAGAAUUGCAACUGCUAAGGUGUCUUAAAUGAGAAAAAAAUGUUUUUAAAUAUUUAACUAUACUCUAGUUGGAUGCAUUAAGGUGUGAUUUGUGCUGACUUGGACCACCGUUAGUACUAAUGUGAACUCCUAACGAUCGUAAGGUGAAUAUUGGGAUUUAGUUGAAAAAACAAAUCAGUACAAUGUGUGCAUUAAAACACUGUUUCAACCUUGAUAACAUGCUAAAUCUGAAUUUGUUUACUAAUGACUUUCAAAUUCCCAAUGUCUUGACACAGCACAUCUUUUUGCUUGCACAUCCUGUUUCUAAACUAUUGUGUAGAACGGAGUACUCAAAAGUAGAACUCUUAACUACUGAAAUACUAAAACUCCUGUACUAAUCACCUUACACCGUGCUAGAGCAUUAAUGUGAGUUGUAGUUCAGCAACAAGUUUUUUUUUUUUUUUUUUUUAAGAUAAUUUCUCAUAAACUAGAUGAAUAAAACAUCAAUCAUCCAUACACCUGGAAGAUUCUUGUUGGAUGAUUUAGGAUACACCACAGGUACACUGUACACUCUUUGGAAUAUUUUAUAAGUUAAAUGAGUAACAUUACUUAUAUACUCUGUUACACUACAUUUGGUCAUAUUAGAAGAAAGGCUAGAAAUAUAUUAAUACCCAUGUUGACCACCUUGGAUUUAAAUUGUUAAACUUGCAAACUCCUCCUCAAAAUUUUACCUUAAGUGCGAAAAAAAAGUUUCCCAUAUGACUUUAUGCACUUUUCUUGGUUCUGGUUUAUAUUUCAAGUCAUAAUUAAACAAACCUGUAUAAUAUAAAGCUAUUUGAUUUUAAAAGGAUUUGUUUUUUAUUUUUCUACUAAUAUCUCUAAUUUUUGCUGUUAAUGUAUUUUUUAUUAUAAAUAAAAUGUUUGAUUAAGACCUGCAUUUUCAUCUAUUUUGUAUACAGUGCAAUGUAACUCC